This 1086-nucleotide ribosomal RNA is filed under the name Triticum aestivum (bread wheat). Its description in RNAcentral is "partial small subunit ribosomal RNA". The record is from RNAcentral. Lineage: Eukaryota; Viridiplantae; Streptophyta; Magnoliopsida; Poales; Poaceae.
AGUACCUUUAUGCACUUAAUGAAUCAAGUCCUUAGACCCUUCUUAUCCCACUUUGUUGUGGUCUAUUUCGAUGACAUCUUGAUCCAUAGCAAGGAUGAGAAUGAACACUUUGAUCACAUUCGGAAGGUGCUAGAAGUACUAAGGGGAAAUGAGCUCUACAUCAACUUGAAGAAAUGUGUUUUCCUGCAAACACAACUUCUUUUCCUAGGAUUCGUCAUAACAUGUGACGACAUUCGUGUUGAUGAUUCUAAGGUCGAAGAAAUCCGAGAAUGGCCAACUCCUAAGACCAUUUCUGAGGUAAGAAGCUUUCAUGGCCUUGCAACUUUCUAUAGGAGAUUUGUGAAGAAUUUCAGCACUAUCAUGGCACCAAUUACUGAGUGUUUGAAGAAAGGAAAGUUCCAAUGGACAGAAGCAACUGAAGCUAGUUUCAAUGAGAUUAAACAAAAGCUAUCACAAGCUCCUGUCUUGGUACUACCUGAUUUCAACAAGACUUUUGAGUUGGAGUGUGAUGCAAGUGGAGUAGGCAUUGGAGUUGUCCUAUCUCAAGAAAGGAAGCCCAUUGCUUUCUUUAGUGAGAAGUUAAGUGAAGCUAGACAGAAAUGGAGUACCUAUCAACAAGAAUUAUACGCCGUUUUCAAAGCGUUGAAAACUUGGGAAGUCUAUUUGCUGCCUAAAGAGUUGAUUGUUUAUAGCGACCAUCAAUCCUUGAAGCAUUUUAGAAAUCAAAAGCAUGUUGACCGCAUGCUAGCAAGAUGGGCAGCAUAUCUGGAGAGGUUUAACUAUCUCAUCGUGCAUAAAUCUGGAAUAACUAACAGAGUGGCUGAUGCUUUGAGUCGUCAUGCAUGCCUCUUGACUUCUUUUGAAGCCGAACUUCCGGGCAUGGAUCAAAUAAAGGAGUUGUAUGAGGGUGACGAAGACUUUGGCCAUGUUUGGGUAAAGCACGCAAGGGGCCAACCAUUAGGUGAUGACUAUUUGAUGCAAGAUGGACAUCUCUUCAAAAAUGAUCGUUUGUGCAUUCCAAGAAGUUCUCUACGUGACAAGCUAGUUAGAGAGCUCCAUUCAAGUGAUCUUAGUGGCCAUGUUGGA